This 347-nucleotide ribosomal RNA is filed under the name Pelobates cultripes (western spadefoot toad). It matches the Rfam family "Eukaryotic small subunit ribosomal RNA", at positions 115 to 473 of the family's 1831-position model. The record is from RNAcentral. Lineage: Eukaryota; Metazoa; Chordata; Amphibia; Anura; Pelobatidae.
UUAUAUAUUUAAUUAUAUUUUAAUUGGGGUAGCCCCCAAAAUAUUGGGACAUAUAAAAAAAAGACAACUCUGUUCCGCAGAGUAGCUGUUGACAUUAUAGUUGCGCAGGAACUUUGUUGACUCUAAAGAAUCUCGGGAAAAAUUGCACAUCCUUGUGGCAACGACAUUGCAUGCGGAUGUCAUCCAUAUCAACUUUCGAUGCCAGUUUCUGCGCCUACCAUGGUGACCACGGGUAAUGGGGAAUCAGGAUUCCAUUCUGUACAGGGACCCUGAGAAACUGCUACCUCAUGCAAGGAAGGCAGCAGGCGUGCAAAUGACCCACUCCCGACGCAGGAAGGUAGUGACAA